CAAAGCGGCGCCACGGUUACUCGCGUCACUUCCGGUUAUUAGAGACGCCGGUGUUUUGAGAUAUUCCUUAGGAACAGCAUUACAACAAACAGCUUCUGCAGCCACCGUCAUCUUUGGGGGACAUUAAAAUACGGAUUAUGUGGACAUCUGAGCUGUGGAGAGUUGAUGUUCCUGCUGACUCUCCUUGUGGGCCCGUGUGGCAUCUCUGAAGAACCACGGUGGUUCUGAGCUGCGGGGAACCGUGGAUGUGUGCUCUACAACACAUGGUGAUGUCCUCACAAGGUUACGCCAACAGUCUGUUAUCACGUUCUUGCUCUGUUUGUGUGAAUCAAAGGCCCAUCAGCCGCGUGCCCGCCAGACUCUGACGGCGUGAUAUAACCAGAGCGGCGCUGGUGAGGCUGUCACAGCCAGACCAUGAGUGAUGUGGACGGACGACCUUGGGCCGAGCGCUGCGGUAGCUGCUCGCCGUGUUUGGCGGCCAGCGUGUGACAUCAGCAUAAUGCAGCAGCAUCAUUUGUGAUGAACAGAGAGGCCAGAACACACCAGCGCUGUCAGGGCCGCGCGGCAGGCUGCGGUCCGGGCGGUGCUGCCCCGGCCAGCCUCUGGAGCCUGGGGGAGAACCUUCACGCUUGAGUCUUGCUUUGUAGCUGUUAGAACCAGACAAACGUUCUCAGAGUGGAGCGUGGAGAGCCUCCCUGGGUGACGCGAAGCUCUUCUGCUGUCCUGAUAAUCUGGGAUUUUGUGACAUUCCUGCUGUAUUUUCAUAGUUGGCUUUAAUUUUGAGAGCUUGGGGCACGUUUGCUCUUCCUUCCUGAAGCUGUCAGGAUGCUGCGGGACUCUGGUUUGUCAGCGUUUUUUGUGGAUUUGCUUCACAUGUUCAGCCUCUCUGGUUUUGUAGUUCCCAGAGGACACGAGAGGCAGCUGCUGGUUCCAGGCCGACGCGCUCAACACGGAGCCCUUCAGAGAAACGUUCUUCUGUCUGAAACUGAGCGGUCGUCAGUGAUUGGCGGAAAUCUGCGAAACAGCCCAGCUGGACCUCAAGUAGACUAUAAAUGUGGCCGCUGUCGGCGCGUCUCCACGAGAAGGUUCCUGAGCUCAGUGGAGGCAGCGUACAUCAUUACCCAGAAUGCAACAGGUGUGAGACGUCCUGCUGAAGUCACCUCUACACCUCAUCUAUGUUCCGGCCAAUCCCCACGUCCUUCUCUCAGGCGCCAUAGCAACCGCACAGAUGGAGCCGUCUCCAGCUGCUGCCUGGAGGUGACCAGUCAAGGAUUCUGGGUGUGUUGAGUGGACUCGACGCCCUGCAGGUGCUUUCAGAGAGUUCGGGACCCCAGAACAAACCCGGUUCAUCAGUUUGUCAUCUGACGGGAAGCAACCUGCUUCUCACCAUGUAGCCGCGACAACCUGCGGAAACGUUCCUCUGAGCCAGGCUGAUUACAACACGCUGAGCUCAGCAGUUGCACCAGCAGACACACACACACAGAACGCGUCAGGUCAUUAGCAGCUGCAGAACUUCCUGUUUCAUCUUUGAGUUCUGCGUAAUCAUCGUUUUAAUUAACGGCGACGGCGGCAUGAACCACCCCCUCAACACCCCUCCCACGGCGCCACACAAACCUGAGAGCAAUUAGUGACAGUGGACCUAGAUGGAGGGUGGACGCGGACAGACCAGACGAUGAAACGACAAUAGUAGAAGAAGAAAAGAGCAUCGGCCAGUCAGAGGGAGGGGCAGGGGGCGGGGCUACGGAGAUGGCGAGACAGGGACAGACCCCUGGGAGAAGGAGCUGCUGUGGGUUGACUGACAGGUGCUGGAACACCGUUCUUGGACCGAUUGGAGGAACGAUUCUCUCCACCAUCGUCGGGCAUCUGAGGCCCGAGUGAGACGGCGGCGGAGGCCAUCAUCUCUGUCCCUGCUAAACUUUUUUCUCAGAACAAACCUGGGACUUCCUGCCUCGGUGGAGAACUUUCUCAGCUGUCGUUCCAGUCUGGAUGCGUCUCACCUGUCUCACAUUAAAGACAAACACACGGGAGGACUGAAGCUGGACCGCUGACCUGACCUGGAUCCACCUGAGACCAGGUCCAUAUCAGCUCCUGGGGUCGUCUUCUUUCUGUGAGUACUUCUGGGACUCCUUGAGUCUUUUCUUUGAUCUCCUCAGCUUAGCUUGAGCUGUUUUAUCUUCUGUCAUCUUGGAUUUACGGGGUUCUGGAUGUUUAGUCUGUCUUCUUCUAUGGUUUGAUGUGAUUCUCUUUUGUUGAGUUGAAUUUCCACAUUAUUGAUAAAAUAGUCCUAAUACAUGCCU
This 2297-nucleotide long non-coding RNA is filed under the name Takifugu rubripes (torafugu). Its description in RNAcentral is "lncRNA (ENSTRUG00000026533.1)". The record is from RNAcentral. Lineage: Eukaryota; Metazoa; Chordata; Actinopteri; Tetraodontiformes; Tetraodontidae.